CCUACGGGAGGCAGCAGUGGGGAAUAUUGGACAAUGGGCGAAAGCCUGAUCCAGCAAUGCCGCGUGAGUGAUGAAGGCCUUAGGGUUGUAAAGCUCUUUUACCCGGGAAGAUAAUGACUGUACCGGGAGAAUAAGCUCCGGCUAACUCCGUGCCAGCAGCCGCGGUAAUACGGAGGGAGCUAGCGUUGUUCGGAAUUACUGGGCGUAAAGCGCGCGUAGGCGGGUGACUAAGUCAGGGGUGAAAUGCCGAGGCUCAACCUCGGAACUGCCUUUGAUACUGGUCGCCUGGAGUUCGGCAGAGGGGGGUGGAAUUCCACGUGUAGCAGUGAAAUGCGUAGAGAUGUGGAGGAACACCGAUGGCGAAGGCAGCCCCCUGGGCCGAUACUGACGCUCAGGCACGAAAGCGUGGGGAGCAAACAGGAUUAGAUACCCUGGUAGUCCACGCCCUAAACGAU
This 455-nucleotide ribosomal RNA is filed under the name uncultured Sphingomonadaceae bacterium. RNAcentral's name for it is "bacterial SSU rRNA". It matches the Rfam family "Bacterial small subunit ribosomal RNA", at positions 338 to 810 of the family's 1533-position model. Lineage: Bacteria; Pseudomonadati; Pseudomonadota; Alphaproteobacteria; Sphingomonadales; Sphingomonadaceae. The record is from RNAcentral.